RNAcentral lists this ribosomal RNA (1636 nucleotides) under Klebsiella pneumoniae. RNAcentral describes it as "partial 23S ribosomal RNA". It matches the Rfam family "Bacterial large subunit ribosomal RNA", at positions 1260 to 2875 of the family's 2925-position model. Lineage: Bacteria; Pseudomonadati; Pseudomonadota; Gammaproteobacteria; Enterobacterales; Enterobacteriaceae. The record is from RNAcentral.
GCUGUGAGGCAUGCUGGAGGUAUCAGAAGUGCGAAUGCUGACAUAAGUAACGAUAAAGCGGGUGAAAAGCCCGCUCGCCGGAAGACCAAGGGUUCCUGUCCAACGUUAAUCGGGGCAGGGUGAGUCGACCCCUAAGGCGAGGCCGAAAGGCGUAGUCGAUGGGAAACAGGUUAAUAUUCCUGUACUUGGUGUUACUGCGAAGGGGGGACGGAGAAGGCUAUGUUAGCCGGGCGACGGUUGUCCCGGUUUAAGCAUGUAGGCUGGUUGUCCAGGCAAAUCCGGAUAAUCAAGGCUGAGGUGUGAUGACGAGGCACUACGGUGCUGAAGUAACAAAUGCCCUGCUUCCAGGAAAAGCCUCUAAGCAUCAGGUAACAUCAAAUCGUACCCCAAACCGACACAGGUGGUCAGGUAGAGAAUACCAAGGCGCUUGAGAGAACUCGGGUGAAGGAACUAGGCAAAAUGGUGCCGUAACUUCGGGAGAAGGCACGCUGGUGUGUAGGUGAAGUCCCUGCGGAUGGAGCUGAGACCAGUCGAAGAUACCAGCUGGCUGCAACUGUUUAUUAAAAACACAGCACUGUGCAAACACGAAAGUGGACGUAUACGGUGUGACGCCUGCCCGGUGCCGGAAGGUUAAUUGAUGGGGUUAUCCGUAAGGAGAAGCUCUUGAUCGAAGCCCCGGUAAACGGCGGCCGUAACUAUAACGGUCCUAAGGUAGCGAAAUUCCUUGUCGGGUAAGUUCCGACCUGCACGAAUGGCGUAAUGAUGGCCAGGCUGUCUCCACCCGAGACUCAGUGAAAUUGAACUCGCUGUGAAGAUGCAGUGUACCCGCGGCAAGACGGAAAGACCCCGUGAACCUUUACUAUAGCUUGACACUGAACAUUGAGCCUUGAUGUGUAGGAUAGGUGGGAGGCUUUGAAGCGUGGACGCCAGUCUGCGUGGAGCCAACCUUGAAAUACCACCCUUUAAUGUUUGAUGUUCUAACGUUGGCCCCUUACCGGGGUUGCGGACAGUGUCUGGUGGGUAGUUUGACUGGGGCGGUCUCCUCCCAAAGCGUAACGGAGGAGCACGAAGGUUAGCUAAUCCUGGUCGGACAUCAGGAGGUUAGUGCAAUGGCAUAAGCUAGCUUGACUGCGAGCGUGACGGCGCGAGCAGGUGCGAAAGCAGGUCAUAGUGAUCCGGUGGUUCUGAAUGGAAGGGCCAUCGCUCAACGGAUAAAAGGUACUCCGGGGAUAACAGGCUGAUACCGCCCAAGAGUUCAUAUCGACGGCGGUGUUUGGCACCUCGAUGUCGGCUCAUCACAUCCUGGGGCUGAAGUAGGUCCCAAGGGUAUGGCUGUUCGCCAUUUAAAGUGGUACGCGAGCUGGGUUUAGAACGUCGUGAGACAGUUCGGUCCCUAUCUGCCGUGGGCGCUGGAGAAUUGAGGGGGGCUGCUCCUAGUACGAGAGGACCGGAGUGGACGCAUCACUGGUGUUCGGGUUGUCAUGCCAAUGGCACUGCCCGGUAGCUAAAUGCGGAAGAGAUAAGUGCUGAAAGCAUCUAAGCACGAAACUUGCCCCGAGAUGAGUUCUCCCUGAGACUUUAAGUCUCCUGAAGGAACGUUAAAGACGAUGACGUUGAUAGGCCGGGUGUGUAAGCG